Molecule: ribosomal RNA, 484 nt
Filed under: uncultured bacterium
Lineage: Bacteria
Description: partial 16S ribosomal RNA
Rfam family: Bacterial small subunit ribosomal RNA
Source: RNAcentral
AUUGAACGCUGGCGGCAUGCUUUACACAUGCAAGUCGAACGGCAGCGCGCGCUUCGGUCUGGCGGCGCGAGGCGAACGGGUGAGUAAUACAUCGGAACGUGCGCCGUUGUGGUGGAUAGCUCGGCGAAAGCCGGAUUAAUACAGCAUUCGACCUGCGGGUGAAUGUGGGGGAUUUUCGGCCUUCGCGCUACUUGAGCGGCCGAUGGCAGUUUAGCUAGUUGGUUGGGUAAAGGCCCACUAACGCGCCACUCGGGAGCUGGUCUGGGAGGAGGACUUACCACACUGGGAGUGAGACACGGCCCACACUCCUACGGAAGGCAGCAGUGGGGUAUUUUGGACAGUGGGCGAGAACCUGAUCCAGCCAUGCGGCGUCUGUGAUGAAAACCUUCGGGUUGUAAGGCGCUUUUGGCGGGAGCGAAAAGGACUGUGCAAAGAUCACCGUUAGAUGACGGUACCCGAUGAAUAAGCACCGGCUAACUACGUG